CGGGUGCUUGCACCUGGUGGCGAGUGGCGAACGGGUGAGUAAUACAUCGGAACAUGUCCUGUAGUGGGGGAUAGCCCGGCGAAAGCCGGAUUAAUACCGCAUACGAUCUACGGAUGAAAGCGGGGGACCUUCGGGCCUCGCGCUAUAGGGUUGGCCGAUGGCUGAUUAGCUAGUUGGUGGGGUAAAGGCCUACCAAGGCGACGAUCAGUAGCUGGUCUGAGAGGACGACCAGCCACACUGGGACUGAGACACGGCCCAGACUCCUACGGGAGGCAGCAGUGGGGAAUUUUGGACAAUGGGCGAAAGCCUGAUCCAGCAAUGCCGCGUGUGUGAAGAAGGCCUUCGGGUUGUAAAGCACUUUUGUCCGGAAAGAAAUCCUUGGUUCUAAUAUAGCCGGGGGAUGACGGUACCGGAAGAAUAAGCACCGGCUAACUACGUGCCAGCAGCCGCGGUAAUACGUAGGGUGCGAGCGUUAAUCGGAAUUACUGGGCGUAAAGCGUGCGCAGGCGGUUUGCUAAGACCGAUGUGAAAUCCCCGGGCUCAACCUGGGAACUGCAUUGGUGACUGGCAGGCUAGAGUAUGGCAGAGGGGGGUAGAAUUCCACGUGUAGCAGUGAAAUGCGUAGAGAUGUGGAGGAAUACCGAUGGCGAAGGCAGCCCCCUGGGCCAAUACUGAC
Molecule: ribosomal RNA, 676 nt
Filed under: uncultured beta proteobacterium
Lineage: Bacteria; Pseudomonadati; Pseudomonadota; Betaproteobacteria
Description: bacterial SSU rRNA
Rfam family: Bacterial small subunit ribosomal RNA
Source: RNAcentral